AGAACGAACGCUGGCGGCAUGCCUAACACAUGCAAGUCGAACGAGACCGCUGACUUCGGUUGGCGUGUCUAGUGGCGCACGGGUGCGUAACGCGUGGGAAUCUGCCCUUGGGUUCGGGAUAACAGUUGGAAACGACUGCUAAUACCGGAUGAUGUCUUCGGACCAAAGAUUUAUCGCCCAGGGAUGAGCCCGCGUCGGAUUAGCUAGUUGGUGGGGUAAAAGCCUACCAAGGCAACGAUCCGUAGCUGGUCUGAGAGGAUGAUCAGCCACACUGGGACUGAGACACGGCCCAGACUCCUACGGGAGGCAGCAGGUGGGGAAUAUUGGACAAGUGGGACGAAAGCCUGAUCCAGCAAUGCCGCGUGAGUGAUGAA
This 374-nucleotide ribosomal RNA is filed under the name uncultured soil bacterium. RNAcentral describes it as "bacterial SSU rRNA". It matches the Rfam family "Bacterial small subunit ribosomal RNA", at positions 26 to 412 of the family's 1533-position model. The record is from RNAcentral.